AUUGUUUGAAUGGAUUGGCAUGGUGGUCCUUCUCUAUCCUUGAACACUGAAAGGAAAUGUGCGCAGACCAGAAUACUCUCGAAACACAACUGAGCCACAUAUCUAACCUCAAAUUCAGAGGAAUGCAAUGACGUGAAAGCAGAUGGAAGCUUAUGCCAGAAUAGUUUAAUGAGAAUUAGAUUUUGUGAUAAUGAAGUGGUAAUGAUAUGCAGCAAUGCUAUGUAUCAGAGGAAACAGAACAUCCCAAUAUAAUUGGCUUUUGCCUGUUGUUGGAGAUACUUCUAAAUUAAAAACCAAUAUAAAAAUCCAAUCCAAUCAAUUAAAAAUGUCAAGUAAAGUUGCAAGACCAUUUUGCUUAGUUAAAGUGUUAUAUCCUCCAAGGUUUCAACAUACUGAAUUAAAUACAGAUGGUCUGUGAUACAGACUCUACUCACGGAACAUGGUUUCUGAAGGACUGAUUGAUUCCCCCCCUGACCCCUGCAAAUCUAUCCUGAAAAUUUGGAAGAUCCUCUGGAAUGUGAGAGGCAAUGUCUAAAGGGCAGGGUUGGAACCUAUCCACUGAAAAGAACAAAACCAAAAUAUUCUGGAUUUUCUUCAUAUUUUAAGAUUGAAAUUCUUUCCUCUUCCAUUCUUGCCUCUAAAACCACCUUUAUUCCCUGAACUGUUUUGGGGAAAUGUAAUCUACAGCAGCAGAUCUGGACUGCAAACCUUCAGUUAGCUACUACAUGGCAGCAAAGAAUUAAAAUGUUCUACAUCUUUUAAAA
Molecule: non-coding RNA, 764 nt
Organism: Pantherophis guttatus
Lineage: Eukaryota; Metazoa; Chordata; Lepidosauria; Squamata; Colubridae
Source: RefSeq, a predicted model, not a curated record